RNAcentral lists this ribosomal RNA (492 nucleotides) under uncultured bacterium. RNAcentral's name for it is "partial 16S ribosomal RNA". It matches the Rfam family "Bacterial small subunit ribosomal RNA", at positions 29 to 507 of the family's 1533-position model. The record is from RNAcentral.
AGUGAACGCUGGCGGUAGGCCUAACACAUGCAAGUCGAACGGCAGCACAGUAAGAGCUUGCUCUUACGGGUGGCGAGUGGCGGACGGGUGAGGAAUACAUCGGAAUCUACUUUUUCGUGGGGGAUAACGUAGGGAAACUUACGCUAAUACCGCAUACGACCUACGGGUGAAAGCAGGGGAUCUUCGGACCUUGCGCGAUUGAAUGAGCCGAUGUCGGAUUAGCUAGUUGGCGGGGUAAAGGCCCACCAAGGCGACGAUCCGUAGCUGGUCUGAGAGGAUGAUCAGCCACACUGGAACUGAGACACGGUCCAGACUCCUACGGGAGGCAGCAGUAGGGAAUAUUGGGCAAUGGGCGCAAGCCUGACGCAGCCAUACCGCGUGAGUGAAGAAGGUCUUCGGGUCGUAAAGCCCUGUUGUUGGGAAAGAAAAGAUGCAGAAUAAUACCCCGAUAUUCUGACGGUACCCAAAGAGAAAGCAACGGCUAACUACGUG